This 440-nucleotide ribosomal RNA is filed under the name uncultured bacterium. RNAcentral describes it as "partial 16S ribosomal RNA". It matches the Rfam family "Bacterial small subunit ribosomal RNA", at positions 338 to 795 of the family's 1533-position model. The record is from RNAcentral.
CCUACGGGUGGCUGCAGUGGGGAAUAUUGCACAAUGGGGGAAACUCUGAUGCAGCGAUGCCGCGUGAGUGAUGACGUCUUUCGGAAUGUAAAGCUCUAUUAGCAGGAAAGAUAAUGACGGUACCUGACUAAGAAGCUACGUAUAAAUACGUGCCAGCAGGCGUGGUAAUACGUAUGGAGCCAGCGUUAUACGGAUUUACUGGGUGUAAAGGGAGCGUAGGCGGCCGGGCAAGUCUGAUGUGAAACUCCGAGGCUCAACCCCGGGACUGCAUUUGAAACUGUCCGGCUAGAGAGCAGGAGAGGUAAGUGGAAUGUCUGGUGUAGCGGUGAAAUGCGUAGAUAUUAUGAGGAACACCAGUGGCGAAGGCGGCUUACUAGGCUAUAACUGACGUUGAGGCUCGAAAGCGUGGGGAGCAAACAGGAUUAGAUACCCCAGUAGUC